GGGAUUGCCCUAGUAACGGCGAGUGAAGCGGCAACAGCUCAAAUUUGAAAUCUGGCUUCGGCCCGAGUUGUAAUUUGCAGAGGAAGCUUUAGGCGCGGCACCUUCUGAGUCCCCUGGAACGGGGCGCCAUAGAGGGUGAGAGCCCCGUAUAGUUGGAUGCCUAGCCUGUGUAAAGCUCCUUCGACGAGUCGAGUAGUUUGGGAAUGCUGCUCAAAAUGGGAGGUAAAUUUCUUCUAAAGCUAAAUACCGGCCAGAGACCGAUAGCGCACAAGUAGAGUGAUCGAAAGAUGAAAAGCACUUUGAAAAGAGGGUUAAAUAGCACGUGAAAUUGUUGAAAGGGAAGCGCUUGUGACCAGACUUGCGCCGGGCAGAUCAUCCGGUGUUCUCACCGGUGCACUCUGCCCGGCUCAGGCCAGCAUCGGUUCUCGCGGGGGGGAUAAAGGCCCUGGGAACGUAGCUCCUCCGGGAGUGUUAUAGCCCGGGGCGUAAUGCCCUCGCGGGGACCGAGGUUCGCGCAUCUGCAAGGAUGCUGGCGUAAUGGUCAUCAGCGACCCGUCUUGAAACACGGACCAAGGAGUCAAGGUUUUGCGCGAGUGUUUGGGUGUAAAACCCGCACGCGUAAUGAAAGUGAACGUAGGUGAGAGCUUCGGCGCAUCAUCGACCGAUCCUGAUGUUUUCGGAUGGAUUUGAGUAGGAGCGUUAAGCCUUGGACCCGAAAGAUGGUGAACUAUGCUUGGAUAGGGUGAAGCCAGAGGAAACUCUGGUGGAGGCUCGCAGCGGUUCUGACGUGCAAAUCGAUCGUCAAAUCUGAGCAUGGGGCGAAA
Molecule: ribosomal RNA, 824 nt
Filed under: Chaetomium elatum
Lineage: Eukaryota; Fungi; Ascomycota; Sordariomycetes; Sordariales; Chaetomiaceae
Description: LSU rRNA
Rfam family: Eukaryotic large subunit ribosomal RNA
Source: RNAcentral